This 551-nucleotide ribosomal RNA is filed under the name uncultured archaeon. Its description in RNAcentral is "bacterial SSU rRNA". It matches the Rfam family "Archaeal small subunit ribosomal RNA", at positions 326 to 879 of the family's 1478-position model. The record is from RNAcentral.
CGGGGUGCACCAGGCGCGAAAACUCCACAAUGUACGGAAGUACGAUGGGGUUAUCUCGAGUGCAGUCCGAUAAGGGCUGCUUUUCCAUAGAGUAAUAUCCUGUGGGAAUAAGAGGGGGGCAAGACUGGUGUCAGCCGCCGCGGUAACACCAGCCCCUCGAGUGGUGGGGACUAUUAUUUGGCCUAAAGCGUCCGUAGCUGGCUGUAUCCGUCCCCCGUUAAAUCCAGCGUCCUAAGCGUUGGACUGCGGGUGAUACCAUACAGCUAGAGGGUGGGAUAGGUGAGCGGUAUUUCUGGGGUAGGGGCGAAAUCCUUUGAUCCCAGGAGGACCACCAGUGGCGAAGGCUGCUCACUAGAACACGCCUGACGGUCAGGGACGAAAGCUGGGGCAGCGAACCGGAUUAGAUACCCGGGUAGUCCCAGCUGUAAACGAUGCUAGCUAGGUGUUGGGUCGGCCACGUGCCGCCCCAGUGCCGCAGGGAGGCCGUUAAGCUAGCCGCCUGGGGAGUACGGCCGCAAGGCUGAAACUUAAAGGAAUUGGCGGGGGAGCAC